CCAUAAACAAAAAUAAUUAGUAAACAAAAUUAUUCGCCAGAGUACUACAAGCAACAGCUCAAAACUCAAAGGACUUGGCGGUGCUUUAUACCCCUCUAGAGGAGCCUGUUCUAUAAUCGAUAAACCCCGAUAAACCUCACCACCCCUUGCUAAUUCAACCUAUAUACCGCCAUCCUCAGCAAACCCUGCUAAGGACUUAAAGUAAGCAAGAUACUUACACACUAAAACGUUAGGUCAAGGUGUAGUCUAUGGGACGGGAAGAAAUGGGCUACAUUUCCUACGCCCAUAGGACACAAACGCUAGCCCCAUGAAACACAAGGCAAAAGGCGGAUUUAGUAGUAAACCAAGAAUAGAGAGCCUGAUUGAAUUGGGCAAUGAAGC
Molecule: ribosomal RNA, 381 nt
Filed under: Perodicticus potto (potto)
Lineage: Eukaryota; Metazoa; Chordata; Mammalia; Primates; Lorisidae
Description: partial 12S ribosomal RNA
Rfam family: Bacterial small subunit ribosomal RNA
Source: RNAcentral